Neomonachus schauinslandi (Hawaiian monk seal) is the source of this 105-nucleotide small nucleolar RNA. RefSeq annotates it as small nucleolar RNA U13. The transcript has a single exon. Lineage: Eukaryota; Metazoa; Chordata; Mammalia; Carnivora; Phocidae. The record is from RefSeq and is a predicted model, not a curated record.
GUGCAUUUGUAGUUCAUAAGCAUGAUGAUUGGGUGUUCAUGCUGUUGCAUGACGUGCAUUCCUCAAACCUUGCCACGAUGACAUUGGCACAUUAUCCAUCUGAUG